This 254-nucleotide ribosomal RNA is filed under the name uncultured bacterium. Its description in RNAcentral is "partial 16S ribosomal RNA". It matches the Rfam family "Bacterial small subunit ribosomal RNA", at positions 524 to 776 of the family's 1533-position model. The record is from RNAcentral.
UACGGGGGGGUGCAAACGUUGCUCGGAAUCAUUGGGCGUAAAGCGCACGUAGGCGGUUCGUUAUGUCGGAUGUGAAAGCCCUUGGCUUAACCGAGGAAGUGCAUCCGAAACUGGCGAGCUAGAGUACGAAAGAGGAUCGCGGAAUUCCCGGUGUAGAGGUGAAAUUCGUAGAUAUCAGGAGGAACACCUGCGGCGAAGGCGGGUUGCUGGGCCGACACUGACGCUGAUGCGCGAAAGCCAGGGGAGCGAACGGG